AGUCCUGUAGCUCAAUGUCAGAGCCCUUUCUGAUCAUGAUGGCCUCCUGCUCAUGAAAGGAGAUGGUGGUUCGACUCCACCCAGGACUACCA
Molecule: transfer RNA, 92 nt
Filed under: Candidatus Vogelbacteria bacterium
Lineage: Bacteria; Candidatus Vogeliibacteriota
Description: tRNA-OTHER
Rfam family: tRNA
About the family: Transfer RNA (tRNA) molecules are approximately 80 nucleotides in length. Their secondary structure includes four short double-helical elements and three loops (D, anti-codon, and T loops).
Source: RNAcentral